This 418-nucleotide long non-coding RNA is filed under the name Lathyrus oleraceus (garden pea). RNAcentral describes it as "Pisum sativum (pea) long non-coding RNA (PSAT_LNC025527)". Lineage: Eukaryota; Viridiplantae; Streptophyta; Magnoliopsida; Fabales; Fabaceae. The record is from RNAcentral.
GAUUCAGGCAGUUUACCAUAUUUCCACAUCAGAAACCUCUUCACCUGCAAGCUUUUCACACACUCACAAUAUCUCUCAGGGUUAGGUGUGUACACUCACAGCACAGUAUGCAAUACCAACUCUUAACUUUGAAUACAUUCUAAUGUCACUACCACAGCAGAUUCCACACACUUUUUGAGGUCUUUUUAGGUUGUAACGGGGCUUGGGUACGGUGGGAUAAACAAAAAAAUUGGAUAACAAAGGGUUUUGAACUCGGUAGUCAUGUUGUGUGAUUUUUCUUUCUCUUUUUUCUCGUGCAUCACGUAUACUCUGGGGGUUAAUUUCACUCUUUUGACUCUUUUUCUACUCAAAUUUUCCAAGCAUUUUAUAUCUGUUAGAGUCUUAGGUCUCGGCAAGUGCAUUUUUCUCUUUUGUUUUU